Cimex lectularius (bed bug) is the source of this 1419-nucleotide long non-coding RNA. RefSeq lists it as uncharacterized. The record is from RefSeq and is a predicted model, not a curated record. Lineage: Eukaryota; Metazoa; Arthropoda; Insecta; Hemiptera; Cimicidae. The transcript is spliced from 3 exons.
UUUCUUUUUGUGUAUGCGGACACAUUUAACACGAUUAUGCUUUUUAUAGUGAAGCAUAUAAAAAAUGUCCUAUAUUUUAAGAAUUUGAUAUUAUCAGCACUACGUAUUACAAGAAUAAAUCUAGUAAUUAAAAAAACAAAACAAUAUUUCGUGCACAAUACUACACACUCUAAUAAGAAUUUUUUCAAAGAUAUUUUAACAGUGGGAUUUUUUUGUGUGGCCCUUCGUGAAUGAAAAAGAAGAAGCGAAAUUUGUGGAUAUAUUUUGGCUGUUGACCUUCAAUCAAGUCGUUCAGACUUGUUUUUAUUCUGUACAUCACGAGGGCAUCACAGGCCUCUGUAAAAAAAUAUCGAUCAAACGCUGUUUUCAGCUUUAGGCCUGUCCGUUAUUGCACAAUCGUCCAUAAAAAUUAUGCUUUGGACAACGUUAACCCUGGAAAUAUGAUUUUUCCUGAUUAUCGUCGUCCCAGGGAGUCGGAAAGCGUUCGCGCACGGCGACGACGUCGGUUUUCGAGGCGUCGAUGAGGAACGGAGGGUGAAAUGGGACCCGGUGGCUGGAGGCCAUAUGUUGGAAGCACAUGACGUCGGGCCGGGCGUUUUUUCCACCGAGCCCCCUUCCGGCCAGCUGCCGUCGACAGCCGCUUUUGUCUCUCCAGAAACCUUAGAAGGUGGAAAAAAGGAAGAAAACGGCGGACUAUCACGCGAGGUUCAAGGACGGCGAAGAAAUCCCGAGAACUUGUGGGCGAGAUGCCAAUGUAACUACAUCAUCUGCAAAAUCCAAAGCCUUAAUCUCGUUUACAGAAGAAACAAUUCCCUAAGUAAUUUCAAUUAACAUGCAAAUUCCAGAAUUAGACGUUGGUAUAUCCAAAUGGAAGUCAUUCGUCGAUAGAUUCGACUGAUAGCUACAAGCCGGUUAAAAUCGAAGAUGGUGUCGUUAAAACGACAAUAAUUUUAUUCGAUGAGAUUCCUGUUUUUUCACGUCCUCGACGACUUCAACAGCAGAAAUGGUAAAUGCAUCAUUGUGAGGUCUAAGAACUGGCACUGGGUCAUUAUUAGGUCAGUGAGCUCGUUCCUCAUUGAAGAUGGGGCUAAACCGAAAUUCAGUGAUAUCGAAACUCACAGAGACAGCCUGUGACCUCAAAAUGACUACAAUUAAACACGACUACAAUAAAAUUGACACGAUACAAACAUGACACCACAAGUAUAGCACGACACUUCACAUGAGUUUUUGUAAUUCACUGAAGAUGAAAAUGAAAAAAAGGUGUUUUUCCAAAAUACUUCAUUCCUGACCACUCCUCACUAUUUCAACAAAUUAUUGAACGUCGUUAAAGAGCACAUAAAAUAAAAUUGACAUUAAAAUAUACAGAAAACAACGACAGCUUAAAUGCACAUCUGAGCCAACCACACCAAUAAAAAUGAU